GGGCCCGUAGCUCAGCUUGGACCAGAGCGCUGGCCUCCGGAGCCAGAAGCCCCGGGUUCAAGUCCCGGCGGGCCCG
RNAcentral lists this transfer RNA (76 nucleotides) under Candidatus Bathyarchaeota archaeon. RNAcentral's name for it is "tRNA-Arg". It matches the Rfam family "tRNA". From Rfam's summary of the family: Transfer RNA (tRNA) molecules are approximately 80 nucleotides in length. Their secondary structure includes four short double-helical elements and three loops (D, anti-codon, and T loops). The record is from RNAcentral. Lineage: Archaea; Thermoproteati; Candidatus Bathyarchaeota.